Molecule: unclassified non-coding RNA, 379 nt
Filed under: uncultured Microbacteriaceae bacterium
Lineage: Bacteria; Bacillati; Actinomycetota; Actinomycetes; Micrococcales; Microbacteriaceae
Description: contains 16S-23S intergenic spacer region
Source: RNAcentral
UCACUGCUUGCGCAGGCAGUCUCUUUAGAGUCCCCACCAUAAUGUGCUGGCAACAUAGAACGAGGGUUGCGCUCGUUGCGGGACUUAACCCAACAUCUCACGACACGAGCUGACGACAACCAUGCACCACCUGUUUACGAGUGUCCAAAGAGUUCUACAUUUCUGCAGCGUUCUCGUAUAUGUCAAGCCUUGGUAAGGUUCUUCGCGUUGCAUCGAAUUAAUCCGCAUGCUCCGCCGCUUGUGCGGGUCCCCGUCAAUCCCUUUGAGUUUUAGCCUUGCGGCCGUACUCCCCAGGCGGGGAACUUAAUGUGUUAGCUGCGUCACGGAAUCCGUGGAAUGGACCCCACAACUAGUUCCCAACGUUUACGGGGUGGACUAC